UACAGAGGUCUCAAGCGUUGUUCGGAUUCAUUGGGCGUAAAGGGUGCGUAGGCGGCGAGGUAAGUCGGAUGUGAAAGCUCGGAGCUCAACUCCGAAAUGGCAUUGGAAACUACCUUGCUCGAGGGUUGGAGGGGGGACUGGAAUUCUCGGUGUAGCAGUGAAAUGCGUAGAUAUCGAGAGGAACACCAGUGGCGAAGGCGAGUCCCUGGACAACUCCUGACACUGAGGCACGAAAGCUAGGGGAGCAAACAGG
Molecule: ribosomal RNA, 253 nt
Filed under: uncultured bacterium
Lineage: Bacteria
Description: partial 16S ribosomal RNA
Rfam family: Bacterial small subunit ribosomal RNA
Source: RNAcentral